GACGAACGCUGGCGGCGUGCUUAACACAUGCAAGUCGAACGGAAAGGCUCCUGCUUGCCGGGGUACUCGAGUGGCGAACGGGUGAGUAACACGUGGGUGAUCUGCCUUGUACUCUGGGAUAAGCUUGGGAAACUGGGGCUAAUACCGGAUAAUAACUGCCGUUGGAGGGGGGGGUGGAGAGUGUUUUCGGUGCAAGAUGAGGUCGCGGCCUAUCAGCUUGUUGGUGGGGUAAUGGCCUACCCAGGCGUCGACGGGUAGCCGGCCUGGGAGGGGGUACGGCCCCACUUGGACUUGGAUACGGCCCAGACUCCUACGGGAGGCAGCAGUUGGGAAUAUUGCACAAUGGGCGGAAGCCUGAUGCAGCGACGCCGCGUGGGGGAUUACGGCCUUCGGGUUGGAAACUCCUUUCGACAGGGACGAAGCUUUUUGUGACGGUACCUGUAUAAGAAGCACCGGCUAACUACGUG
Molecule: ribosomal RNA, 467 nt
Filed under: uncultured bacterium
Lineage: Bacteria
Description: partial 16S ribosomal RNA
Rfam family: Bacterial small subunit ribosomal RNA
Source: RNAcentral